GACGAACGCUGGCGGCGUGCUUAACACAUGCAAGUCGAACGGAAAGGCCCUGCUUUUGUGGGGUGCUCGAGUGGCGAAAGGGUGAGUAACACGUGAGUAACCUGCCCUUGACUUUGGGAUAACUUCAGGAAACUGGGGCUAAUACCGGAUAGGAGCUCCUGCUGCAUGGUGGGGGUUUGAAAGUUUCGGCGGUUGGGGAUGGACUCGCGGCUUAGCAGCUUGUUGGUGGGGUAGUGGCUUACCAAGGCUUUGACGGAUAGCCGGCCUGAGAGGGUGACCGGCCUCAUUGGGACUGCGCUACGGCCCAGACUCCUACGGGAGGCAGCCGUGGGGAAUAUUGCACAAUGGGCGGAAGCCUGAUGCAGCAACGCCGCGUGCGUGAUGACGGCCUUCGGGUUGUAAACCGCUUUCGCCUGUGACGCAGCGUGAGUGACGGUAAUGGGUAAAGAAGCACCGGCUAACUACGUG
RNAcentral lists this ribosomal RNA (468 nucleotides) under uncultured bacterium. RNAcentral describes it as "partial 16S ribosomal RNA". It matches the Rfam family "Bacterial small subunit ribosomal RNA", at positions 28 to 507 of the family's 1533-position model. The record is from RNAcentral.